AUGGAAAUCACAGAGGAACAUGAUCAAAGGUACACACCACGUUUCAACUCAAGAAACUUAAACAGGACAUUGAAAAGGACAUAUAUGGAAAUUUGGGACUUCGGAAGUCCAAGCCACAAGUGUGAAUGGUGUGGUGCAAUAUUUUGGACACAACAUAAAGAGGAGAUACAAGGGCUGACAAAGAAGAAGGAUAAGAAACAAAAACAUGAGAGGGACAGGAAAAGAGAGAAGAGGACCUACAAGUGUAAGAUGAAGGUGACUGUCGGGCUGCCUCGCUCGGGGGCAGCCACGAUGCGAUCGAAAACAACACCGUCGGCAUCUCAAAAUCAAGGUGGAUCUAAGCUGGUUGCGGGAGACAAGAUCCACACCAACAUCACGUGGAUGGACGGCGACGGCAACGGGGCCGUCGAGAUCGACAAGCUCGCUUCCUCCCUAGAGCCACUUCUCCUUGGGCCCUACUACCACUCCGUCGCCGUUGACCGGUCUGAGAGAUUGACGAGGCGUAUAGGAGCCAAACCAGGUGCCGUAGACGGCAACCCCAUGGCCGCACCAAAACGACAAGGUGUGAGUGCGAGAGAAGAUUUUUUUAGAGGCGACGAGUGCGAGAGAAGACUUGAACGUUGGAUCCAUUUGAGCGGUCGCAUCAAGAAAAGCCACGGGUUGGAGCAACGCACUCCCGAAGAUUUUGAUGAGAAUGUUAGUGACCAAUAUUUCCUAAAACAUGGAAGGGAGGUUCUCUACAGGGAAAACCACCAAGGAUAUGUAUAA
This 768-nucleotide ribosomal RNA is filed under the name Triticum aestivum (bread wheat). Its description in RNAcentral is "partial small subunit ribosomal RNA". Lineage: Eukaryota; Viridiplantae; Streptophyta; Magnoliopsida; Poales; Poaceae. The record is from RNAcentral.